GUGCAAGUUCUGUGUACAAGUGUGAGAAGUUUUCCCUGCUUGCUCUUUGUUUAAUGGGAGAGCACCUGAUAAUGACACCGGCAUUUCACCUCCAAGUUGUUCAGCUGCAGGUUUUAGAUGUGGAAGCUCCAUUUGUGCCUGGCUUUGCAAAGGAGUUCUGCAAACGCCUGACAUUAAGAAAUGAGAAUAUAAUUUUGCUUUGUUUUUUUAAUCCCAAUGGUUUACCACAAAAAACACCACUGCCAGUGCUUUGAUAGAAAUCCAGGCUGCUCCUGUUCCAAAAGACCCAGGUAUUUUUCCCCAAAGGUCAGCUUGUUCAUGAUAAAG
This 327-nucleotide long non-coding RNA is filed under the name Zonotrichia albicollis (white-throated sparrow). RNAcentral describes it as "lncRNA (ENSZALG00000001246.1)". The record is from RNAcentral. Lineage: Eukaryota; Metazoa; Chordata; Aves; Passeriformes; Passerellidae.